CAGUCGCCGCGGGAAUACGGAGGGUGCAAGCGUUAAUCGGAAUUACUGGGCGUAAAGCGCACGCAGGCGGUCUGACAAGUCAGAUGUGAAAUCCCCGGGCUUAACCUGGGAACUGCAUUUGAAACUGUCAGGCUGGAGUCUUGUAGAGGGGGGUGGAAUUCCAGGUGUAGCGGUGAAAUGCGUAGAGAUCUGGAGGAAUACCGAUGGCGAAGGCAGCCAUCUGGCCUAAUACUGACGCUGAGGUACGAAAGCAUGGGGAGCAAACAGGAUUAGAUACCCGUGUAGUCCCUGUCUCUUAUAC
This 301-nucleotide ribosomal RNA is filed under the name uncultured bacterium. RNAcentral's name for it is "partial 16S ribosomal RNA". It matches the Rfam family "Bacterial small subunit ribosomal RNA", at positions 509 to 807 of the family's 1533-position model. The record is from RNAcentral.